Molecule: long non-coding RNA, 227 nt
Filed under: Elaeis guineensis (African oil palm)
Lineage: Eukaryota; Viridiplantae; Streptophyta; Magnoliopsida; Arecales; Arecaceae
Description: long non-coding RNA (EGUI_LNC030573)
Source: RNAcentral
ACCAGACUCCGUCCGAACUUCCAUAGCAGAUGGAUAUCGGACGAGCUUCUACGACGGAUGGACUUCGGCAGCUGAAUUUCUACCAUGGCCGAUCACUUUCGGUGUCUGUCGAACCUCCCCAACGCCAUCCGAGGUCCAUCGCCGGUCGACCCUCCGCCAGAUUCUUCAUGAAAUCAGACUUCUCUGAUGGAUAAUCUUCAGACGAGCUUCCACAUCAGGCAAAUCUC